CUCGUAGGCGGUCUGUCGCGUCGGGAGUGAAAACUCAGGGCUUAACCCUGAGCCUGCUUCCGAUACGGGCAGACUAGAGGUAUGCAGGGGAGAACGGAAUUCCUGGUGUAGCGGUGAAAUGCGCAGAUAUCAGGAGGAACACCGGUGGCGAAGGCGGUUCUCUGGGCAUUACCUGACGCUGAGGAGCGAAAGUGUGGGGAGCGAACA
Molecule: ribosomal RNA, 207 nt
Filed under: uncultured bacterium
Lineage: Bacteria
Description: partial 16S ribosomal RNA
Rfam family: Bacterial small subunit ribosomal RNA
Source: RNAcentral